This 393-nucleotide ribosomal RNA is filed under the name uncultured bacterium. RNAcentral describes it as "partial 16S ribosomal RNA". It matches the Rfam family "Bacterial small subunit ribosomal RNA", at positions 523 to 918 of the family's 1533-position model. The record is from RNAcentral.
AUACGGAAGGUCCGGGCGUUAUCCGGAUUUAUUGGGUUUAAAGGGAGCGCAGGCGGAGAUGCAAGCGUGACGUCAAAUUUCGGGGCUCAACCCCGUCUCGCGUCGCGAACUGCGUCCCUUGGUUGCGGGAAGGGGAGGCGGAACUCGUGGUGGAGCGGUGAAAUGCAUAGAUAUCACGAAGAACUCCGAUCGCGAAGGCAGCCUUCCGGCCCGUCAACGACGCUCAUGCUCGAAGGUGCGGGUAUCAAACAGGAUUAGAUACCCUGGUAGUCCGCACAGUAAACGAUGGACACCCGCGGUUUGGCCUGUAUGGCUGAGCCGCCAAGCGAAAGCGUUAAGUGUCCCACCUGGGGAGUACGCCGGCAACGGUGAAACUUAAAGGAAUUGACGGGG